GGGUAAGAACCUCACCUAUCUUGAUAUGUAGGUGGGGUUGUGAUAUAUUGUGCCCAGUGGGCCACUUUUGGUAAGCAGAACUGGCGCUGUGGGAUGAACCAAACGCAAUGUUACGGUGCCAAAAUUUACAACUCAUGCAGAUACCAUGAAAGGCGUUGCUUGCUUAAAACAGCAGGACGGUGGACAUGGAAGUCGUAAUCCGCUAAGGAGUGUGUAACAACUCACCUGCCGAAGCAACUAGCCCUUAAAAUGGAUGGCGCUUAAGUUGUAUACCUAUACAUUGCCGCUAAUGUAGAUGGUUUAUAUGAAAUUUCGGUUUUAUAUAAAUUUUGAAACAUUAGUGAGUAGGAGGGUACAAUGGUGUGCCUAGAAGUGUUUGG
This 380-nucleotide ribosomal RNA is filed under the name Apocephalus epicautus. Its description in RNAcentral is "partial 28S ribosomal RNA". It matches the Rfam family "Eukaryotic large subunit ribosomal RNA", at positions 1071 to 1415 of the family's 3401-position model. The record is from RNAcentral. RNAcentral also lists the same sequence under 4 other names. Lineage: Eukaryota; Metazoa; Arthropoda; Insecta; Diptera; Phoridae.